RNAcentral lists this ribosomal RNA (467 nucleotides) under uncultured bacterium. RNAcentral's name for it is "partial 16S ribosomal RNA". It matches the Rfam family "Bacterial small subunit ribosomal RNA", at positions 28 to 506 of the family's 1533-position model. The record is from RNAcentral.
GACGAACGCUGGCGGCGUGCUUAACACAUGCAAGUCGAACGGAAAGGCCCUGCUUUUGUGGGGUGCUCGAGUGGCGAACGGGUGAGUAACACGUGAGUAACCUGCCCUUGACUUUGGGAUAACUUCAGGAAACUGGGGCUAAUACCGGAUAGGAGCUCCUGCUGCAUGGUGGGGGUUGGAAAGUUUCGGCGGUUGGGGAUGGACUCGCGGCUUAUCAGCUUGUUGGUGGGGUAGUGGCUUACCAAGGCUUUGACGGGUAGCCGGCCUGAGAGGGUGACCGGCCAAAUUGGGAAGGGGAAAGGGCCAAGAACCCUAGGGGAGAAAGAGGGGGGGAAAAUGGCAAAAGGGGGGGAAACCUGAGGAAGAAACCCCGGGGGGGGGAGGAGGGCCUUGGGGUUGAAAACCUGUUUGGCGGGGGAAGAAGGGGGGGUGAGGGUAAGGGGUAAAGAAGCACCGGAUAAAUAGGU